AGGCAUGGCGGCAUGCUUACCAUGCAGUCGAACGGCAGCACGGGAGCAAUCCUGGUGGCGAGUGGCGAACGGGUGAGUAAUACAUCGGAACGUGUCCUGGAGUGGGGGAUAGCCCGGCGAAAGCCGGAUUAAUACCGCAUACGCUCUGUGGAGGAAAGGGGGGGAUCUUAGGACCUCCCGCUCAAGGGGCGGCCGAUGGCAGAUUAGCUAGUUGGUGGGGUAAAGGCCUACCAAGGCGACGAUCUGUAGCUGGUCUGAGAGGACGACCAGCCACACUGGGACUGAGACACGGCCCAGACUCCUACGGGAGGCAGCAGUGGGGAAUUUUGGACAAUGGGGGAAACCCUGAUCCAGCAAUGCCGCGUGUGUGAAGAAGGCCUUCGGGUUGUAAAGCACUUUUGUCCGGAAAGAAAACCAUCGCCCUAAUAUGGUGGUGGGAUGACGGUACCGGAAGAAUAAGCACCGGCUAACUACGUGCCAGCAGCCGCGGUAAUACGUAGGGUGCAAGCGUUAAUCGGAAUUACUGGGCGUAAAGCGUGCGCAGGCGGUUCGCUAAGACAGAUGUGAAAUCCCCGGGCUUAACCUGGGAACUGCAUUUGUGACUGGCGGGCUAGAGUAUGGCAGAGGGGGGUAGAAUUCCACGUGUAGCAGUGAAAUGCGUAGAGAUGUGGAGGAAUACCGAUGGCGAAGGCAGCCCCCUGGGCCAAUACUGACGCUCAUGCACGAAAGCGUGGGGAGCAACAGGUA
RNAcentral lists this ribosomal RNA (747 nucleotides) under bacterium. RNAcentral describes it as "bacterial SSU rRNA". It matches the Rfam family "Bacterial small subunit ribosomal RNA", at positions 33 to 777 of the family's 1533-position model. The record is from RNAcentral.